AUAAAAUAUUAUUUGGGAUGUGGAAAAAAAAAAGUUACAGCAUGAUUGUUUCAAUUUUGGGGCUGUAACUUUUUUAGAAGCUUUAAAUUUUUUUUUACAACCCAACCAAUCAUUCCCUAGAUCCUUUCUUUCCCACCUUUUGGCUUUGGGAGUUCCAUGUCCAAUAAAUCCAACUCCAAUGUGUUUAAAGCCAUGAAAUCUAUAU
This 205-nucleotide small RNA is filed under the name Arabidopsis thaliana (thale cress). RNAcentral's name for it is "ATSL078840". Lineage: Eukaryota; Viridiplantae; Streptophyta; Magnoliopsida; Brassicales; Brassicaceae. The record is from RNAcentral.